Molecule: non-coding RNA, 588 nt
Organism: Prunus mume (Japanese apricot)
Lineage: Eukaryota; Viridiplantae; Streptophyta; Magnoliopsida; Rosales; Rosaceae
Source: RefSeq, a predicted model, not a curated record
AGUUGUGCCCUUUGUAUCCUCACAAUCCUGAAGUGUUGCUGAAUGAGUUAAGAUCACCUUCUGAGCUGCUGGAUUUUGGAGAAUUUUCCGAUUGCAUGGAUUUUGGAAGUGGCACUGCUUCCCCACUCCUUCAUGUUGUCAAUCCUACAUUUGAUUAUGUGCCACCAAAGCUUGUCAGUUUAUUUAUCACUGAUACAGGAGGGCAUAAUCCAUCAUACAUGUACCGGCUCAUCGCAGAUUAUUAUUCUGCUGAUGAUUUAGUGGUCCAACGAAGACCUGCUAUAGGAAGUUGAAUUCAGCUCCCGCAUGUUUAUCCUAUUAUUGGGGUAGUACAGAAAGCUAUAAGGGUAAUGGAUGGAUGAAGAGAAAAUCAAAAUAAACAGUAGUUUUAUGGAACCAUGAAGACCGUUAUUGUGCUGGAAGAGUCCUUGGACAAAAAUUGCAGUUUGGGGGAGUAGCAGUACGAAUCCGGGACAGAACCAUCCACAAAGAUUAGAGCCAAUUUUGUGUAUGUGGCCAUUUAGGAAACUUAGAGCUGUAUUCUACGUAAGUGAAUAGAAGGUGAUUUUUGUGAUUGUGGAAAGACAA